CAGUAGCCGCGGUAAUACGGAGGGUGCAAGCGUUAAUCGGAAUUACUGGGCGUAAAGCGCACGCAGGCGGUUUGUUAAGUCAGAUGUGAAAUCCCCGAGCUUAACUUGGGAACUGCAUUUGAAACUGGCAAGCUAGAGUCUUGUAGAGGGGGGUAGAAUUCCAGGUGUAGCGGUGAAAUGCGUAGAGAUCUGGAGGAAUACCGGUGGCGAAGGCGGCCCCCUGGACAAAGACUGACGCUCAGGUGCGAAAGCGUGGGGAGCAAACAGGAUUAGAUACCCGAGUAGUCCCUGUCUCUUAUAA
Molecule: ribosomal RNA, 301 nt
Filed under: uncultured bacterium
Lineage: Bacteria
Description: partial 16S ribosomal RNA
Rfam family: Bacterial small subunit ribosomal RNA
Source: RNAcentral